RNAcentral lists this unclassified non-coding RNA (262 nucleotides) under Hevea brasiliensis (rubber tree). Lineage: Eukaryota; Viridiplantae; Streptophyta; Magnoliopsida; Malpighiales; Euphorbiaceae. The record is from RNAcentral.
ACAUACUUGGGCAGGCCCUGGAAGCAAUUCUCGACAACUGUAGUUAUGGAGUCACAAUUAGGAGAUUUGAUUCAACCAGAUGGGUGGAUGCCAUGGGCUGGAAGCCAAUUCCUUGACACUUUGUUCUAUGCUGAGUACGCAAAUACUGGACCUGGUGCCAAUACUGCUAGGAGGGUGAAGUGGAAGACACUUCAUUUCCUUAACAAGAAUGAAGCUCAAAGAUUCACUGUUGGAACAUUCCUGGCCGGCGCGGGUCAAUGGA